Molecule: non-coding RNA, 660 nt
Organism: Arachis ipaensis
Lineage: Eukaryota; Viridiplantae; Streptophyta; Magnoliopsida; Fabales; Fabaceae
Source: RefSeq, a predicted model, not a curated record
UAAUAUUUUUAGUGUGUUUCUUGUGGUAGGUAUCAAUGGCAAUUAGGUGAGUAAAUGUGUUGUGUGUACGUCUUAUGCAUAAGAUGAUGUUAAAAUGUAUUUAUUUUUCACCAAGUCCGAGGACCUUGGUUUUUAAGUAUGAUCUCAUCAAGCAUAUCAAUGUUGGUUCCACAUAUAAAGUGUAGAAGUUUAAAGUUCGUGUCAUCAGACUUUGGAAUUAUUCUCACUUUACAACUUCCAGAAUGAAGACACCUAUUGAGAUGGUUGCCCUUGAUGAAGAGAUGUAAUAGGUUAGCUUGUCUUUAUGGGUGACUUGGUCGAGUUUAUGAAGGACGAGAAACUGUCAAAUUAUAUCACCAUAGAACUUGAUGACCUUGAGGGUGGACAGAAAUUAAGGAUUACAUUAUAGCAAUCAUUUUCUCUUGACUUUCUCAAAUAUCUGGAAGAACACCCGCAUCUUAGCUAUGUGGUUAUUCUCCAAAUGGGCAAGAUGAAAUUGUUUAAUGGGGUUAUGGUGUUUCCAACACAAAUAAAAAUUCUAAGCUCUUUAUCAAUGAGGAGUUUCCAGUUACAAAGGAAUUCUUUGCAAGGUACAGUGUAUAAAUUAAGAGUUUAAGUAGAAGAAUAUUUAUAAAGAGCUUUUGUGUAAGACCCAGAACC